RNAcentral lists this ribosomal RNA (465 nucleotides) under uncultured bacterium. RNAcentral's name for it is "partial 16S ribosomal RNA". It matches the Rfam family "Bacterial small subunit ribosomal RNA", at positions 28 to 507 of the family's 1533-position model. The record is from RNAcentral.
GACGAACGCUGGCGGCGUGCUUAACACAUGCAAGUCGAACGCUGAACCCGCUUCGGUGGGGGAUGAGUGGCGAACGGGUGAGUAACACGUGGGCAACCUGCCCCCGGCUCUGGGAUAACUCCAAGAAAUUGGGGCUAAUACCGGAUGUGACCGCUGGCCGCAUGGUCUGGUGGUGGAAAGGGUUUCCGGCUGGGGAUGGGCCCGCGGCCUAUCGGCUUGUUGGUGGGGUAGUGGCCUACCAAGGCGACGACGGGUAGCCGGCCUGAGAGGGUGUCCGGCCACACUGGGACUGAGACACGGCCCAGACUCCUACGGGAGGCAGCAGUGGGGAAUAUUGCGCAAUGGGCGGAAGCCUGACGCAGCGACGCCGCGUGGGGGAUGACGGCCUUCGGGUUGUAAACCUCUUUCAGCAGGGACGAAGCGCAAGUGACGGUACCUGCAGAAGAAGCACCGGCCAACUACGUG